This 209-nucleotide long non-coding RNA is filed under the name Pan troglodytes (chimpanzee). RNAcentral's name for it is "long non-coding RNA NONPTRT001580". The record is from RNAcentral. Lineage: Eukaryota; Metazoa; Chordata; Mammalia; Primates; Hominidae.
GGCAGGAAUAUGAUAAAUCACAGAAUAAAAAGGUGCUUUAUUCGAGAACAUUAACUUUACUCAAACACUUGGGAAAAUAAUUAUUUUAUUAUAAAGAGGAACCACAUUAUUAAGGAUUAGAAUGCAAAAUGAACAACAUUAGCAUUGAAUGAAUUUGCAGUGGAAGGAUUUCAGGAUACUGAUAUGAGCCCCCAGCUCCUCAAGUUUUC